RNAcentral lists this ribosomal RNA (333 nucleotides) under Triticum aestivum (bread wheat). Its description in RNAcentral is "partial small subunit ribosomal RNA". The record is from RNAcentral. Lineage: Eukaryota; Viridiplantae; Streptophyta; Magnoliopsida; Poales; Poaceae.
AUGAAGAGCAACCGAGCCCCUGGCCCCGAUAACAUACCUGCAUAAUUUUAUAAGCAUUGCUGGGAGUUUGUGAAAAAAGAUGUUAUGAACCUUUUCGAGGCCUUCCACAGCAAUUCCCUAGAUGUGGCUAGAUUGAACUACGGGGUGAUUACCCUCAUUCCUAAGAUGAGCGAAGCUAAAAAAAUUCAACAGUAUAGACCCUGCUUGCUACGAUGUCCUUACAAGCUCAUUACCAAAGUUUUGGAUAAUAGAGCAGCCUUGUUUGCAGAUAUUUUGAUCAACAAACAUCAAAAUGCAUUCAUAAACACAGAAAUAUUAUGGAUGGCAUUUUAA